GUUUAAGAUGAUGACUCAAGCUAUCUAAGAAUAGUGUUAUUUACAAAUGGAGUGGUAAAGAAGAAACAGCUUUCAAGAGAAGAAGGGCCACCAGGAAGCACACCUUCAGGAAACACCAUUUCUGUUCUAGUCCAAAGGGCACCAUCCACCUGGACCAGAAUGUGAGGUGCCCUUUGGAGUUGCACAGAGGUCCUGCCUCUUUCCACCUGCACUGCUGUCACCCUGGCCCGGCCGCCACCCUCUCACUGUAUUUCUGCAGCUGAGACCUAGGCCUUAUGCAAGGGAAGGCCCAGGCCAGGAGGGGCCUCACAGCAAGAGUGAAGGAUGCCUCUUGGACAAAAGAGGAGGGUGGAAGACUGGAUGCCACUGAGAAGCCCUUCCAUGCCCAGGAGCUGGCGCGGCAUGAACUUUGGGAGGCCCCAGAGCCUCUGACCCCCCUUCUAAACCAGCACCGUAUUCUGAUUGGCUGUCUCUGCGUGCCUCGGUUUAUUCUUCUUACUGAUCGACCACCUCCUUCCACCGUGUCAGAUCUCUGUUCCUACUGGGCCAGUCCCCCCACCUGCCACAGGGUCACCCGGGAUGGCCUGGGUUCUGCAAGGCCUCGACGGCUUGCCUCUUGCCACCAUCAGAUUCUUCCUCAUUAAACAAAUGAAUCACAAUCCUAAUUAAUUUGAGCAACAGAAUUUAUGUAACUACUCCCAGCAGGAUGUCUGCUCUCAGUCGGUAGCAAGAUUAAUUCCUCUCUCUGGGAAAUUCCAGCCGUGCUGGUCAAUAAAGCUUUAAU
Molecule: long non-coding RNA, 784 nt
Organism: Neofelis nebulosa (Clouded leopard)
Lineage: Eukaryota; Metazoa; Chordata; Mammalia; Carnivora; Felidae
Exons: 3
Source: RefSeq, a predicted model, not a curated record